CACGUAGGGUGCGAGCGUUGUCCGGAAUUAUUGGGCGUAAAGAGCUCGUAGGCGGUUUGUCGCGUCGGCCGUGAAAACCUGCAGCUUAACUGUGGGCUUGCGGUCGAUACGGGCAUCACUGGAGUUCGGCAGGGGAGACUGGAAUUCCUGGUGUAGCGGUGAAAUGCGCAGAUAUCAGGAGGAACACCGGUGGCGAAGGCGGGUCUCUGGGCAGUAACUGACGCUGAGGAGCGAAAGCGUGGGGAGCGAACAGG
This 254-nucleotide ribosomal RNA is filed under the name uncultured bacterium. RNAcentral describes it as "partial 16S ribosomal RNA". It matches the Rfam family "Bacterial small subunit ribosomal RNA", at positions 524 to 776 of the family's 1533-position model. The record is from RNAcentral.